Long non-coding RNA from Physeter macrocephalus (sperm whale), 6688 nucleotides. RefSeq lists it as uncharacterized. NCBI's taxonomy places the organism in Eukaryota, Metazoa, Chordata, Mammalia, Artiodactyla, Physeteridae. The record is from RefSeq and is a predicted model, not a curated record. The transcript is spliced from 3 exons.
CGGAGCGGCUGGGCCCGUGAGCCAUGGCCGCUGAGCCUGCGCGUCCGGAGCCUGUGCUCCGCAAUGGGAGAGGCCACAACAGUGAGAGGCCCGCGUACCACAAAAAAAAAAAAAAAAAAAAUUAUAUUUUGCAAAGCUAUUGUUGCCAUAGGUAGUGAUUCCUCUGAUGGAUCUGGGAAGGGUAAAUUGAAAACCUUCUGGAAAGGAUUCACCUUUCUAGAUGUCAUUAAGAACAUUCGUGAUUCACGGGAAAAUCUCAAAAUAUCAACAUUAAGAGUUUGGAAGAAGUUGAUUCCAGCCUCAUGGAUGACUUUGAGGGAUUCAAGACUUCAGUGAAGAAAGUCACUGUAGAAGUGGUGGAAAUACCAAGAUAGUUAGAAUUAGAUGUGGAGCCUGAAGAUGUGACUGAAUUGCUGCAAUCUCAUGAUAAAAAUUGAAUUGACGGAUGAGGAAUUGCUUCUAAUGGAUAAGAAAAUAAAGUAGUUUCUUGAGAUGAAAUCUACUCCUGGUGAAGAUGUUGUGAAGAUUGUUGAAAUGACAACAAAGGAUUUAGAAUAUUAUAUAAACUUAGUUGAUAAAGCAGUGGCAGGGUUUGAAAAGAUUGACUCCAAUUUUGAAAUAAGCUCUACUGUAGGUAAAAUGCUAUCACACAGCAUUGCAUGCUACAGAGAAAUCAUUCAUGGAAGAAAGAGUCAAUCAAUGUAGCAAACUUCAUUGUUUUCUUAUUUUAAGAAAUGGCCACAGCCAUCCCAACCUUCAGCAACCAGCACUGUGAUCAGUCAGCAGCCAUCAACAUCGAGGCAAGACCCUCCAUCAGCAAAAAGAUUGCUACCUGCUGAGAUUAGAUGAAGUUCUCCCAAACUGGGAGAGGAGAAGAGUCAGAGGGAAGCCAAAGUGCUUAGAAACUGGAAGGUGUUAGGAAGAGGUCUGAGCUUCAGAGUACCCGUGUCCAUGCUGCUUUCCAUUGAAGACAACCACAUUGACUGAGGUCUGAUGACUUGUGAAGGAUUGUGCCAGAUUCUAGGAUGCCAAGAUCAAUGAGAUGCCAUCCUUGACCUCAAGGAACUUACAACAUAGUGGCCCAGAUAUGUGAAACAGACUGACUCUAAUACAGAUGGAAUGACAUAAGUGAACAAUAACUACACACACACACCAGCAGAAAAAAGAAAGAAAGAAAAAUGUCUUCCAGUGAGCCUACCACUUUGUAAAAUGCUCUCCCAGGCAUAGACUUCAGGCCCCACCUAUUUUAUUCUCUCUCUUCAUCCUGACUGAUCCUAGUCACCCAAAGACCAUUCUCAGGUGUUGGGUCAAGUUGUAGUGUCUGUAGACCAAGUUGGAUCGCUUGUUGGACAAAGAAGUGGAUAAGGAUUAUCAGUUGAGGGCAGAGAAGAUCUUCCUCUUCCCUGAUGAAAAGAAUUUGCAAAGGGAGCCUUUCUGCUGUGGUGUCAUCACAUGGCAGCUUCAUAUUUAGCUCCUCUGGCAAGUAGGGGCAGCCCAGGGUGGACACCCUGGAACUCUCCAGUCCAGUCCUUGCCCCCCUCCUUCCUAGCUAUGCUUGGAGUCACCACCCCCUAUGGGCCCUCUGCCCCACACUUCCCAACUCAUGACUUCGCUUGAGUCUGUAGGUUUGAGUUGUGCUGGACCAUUUGUAGCCUUCAGAGGGCCCCUCAGAAACAGAGUUUGUGGGAUUCAGGUUAUGAUGCUUCCCUGCCUUCUGACCUUGCAUCAAGUGACAUAUAAUGAUUAAAAUGACCCUCUCCAUGUCCCUAGCCACACCUGGCACCAGAUGCUACAUUUCAGUCCUGGGCUUGAAGCUUCUUUGGAAACCUACAAAGGCUUUUCCCUUCACUGUGAGUAAUUCCUGAUUUCAUGGUUGUCCUCACAAGAACUCAGCUUCCAUUUGCUCUUGGCCCUCCACCUCUGCCCAAGGGCAUCUGUCGUGGAAGUCCAGCUGCCCUGAUAUUCAGGGGGCAUUUUCAAGGAGCAAUACCUUCAGGGUGAUUGUGACACCUCCACUUGCCUCGCCUCCACAGGGUCCUCGCUCAUUCCCUGCCUCUCCAUCCCCACGACCACUCUCUGAACACAGGCUUGUGGCAUUUCUUGCAUUUCUUGCUUGGACAUGUGUCAACAGCCUUCUACCAGGCCUCCCUGCCUCCUGUUCUUAUUCAUUCCUCCCUCCCUUCUUCCCUCCUUCCCUCCCAUUUUGGGAGAUAAUUAUGAGGACAGGUCUUGUCGCACUGACCUUUCCAACCUUCCAAGCUUUCCAGGCUUCAGUAGAUCCCCAUAUGCCUGUGGAAGGAACUCCAAGCUAGAAAGGCAGCCAGAGGCUUCCCAACUCCUUACAUCUGGCCUCAAUUUCUACUCGAUGAUGCUACACACACACACACACACACACACACACACACGCUCCAGGUGUGCUUUCCCCCCUCUCCUCAGCACGUUUUACCCUUUCCACUGGGCUGGGCUGCGCUCGAUCCCCUGAAGAGUCCCCCUGUUGAAUCCUUCCUUUCCUUACUUCUCCUCCUUUAGGGGUGUUUUGUGUCUCGGGAGCUGAGUUCCCACUUCUUGCUUGAAGAAUUCUCCGCUCCCUUCCUCCUCUACCCAGACUGAUGGUCCCUCCCCUGCUGCUCCCACAGCAAUGUGCUCAGGCUGGUAUUGUGCUGUUUCCAUCCUGCUUUGCAGAAGCGUCAGUCUUGGCGUAAACUCUCCCUCACCGAUUGUUAAGUGCCUUCAAGGCAGGAACUGUCUCAUCAUAGCUCUGGACCCCAUCACCCACAGUGCCUAGCACAAUAAGAAGUUGCUGAAUUCCUCCGUUCAGUGUGGACUAUAGAAUAGUAAGCAUAUCAACGUAGAUUGGUUGCCAGUUCUGACCAUUCUCUUCUCCCUCAAAAAUAGAUUUUUCUCAUUUUCUGCCAAGAAGCUCAGUCCUCCAUCUACCUCUAUCCACCAACUUCCUUUCACCUUAUAGAUGUAUAUAUGCCCUCUCUCAGCUUAAUCAAAUCAUAACAUUUUGUCACAUUGGUUUCCUAUGCUAUGAAGAGAUAAAUCAUUAUAGACACAUUAUAGCCACUAGGAUGUCUUCUUGACCCCUUCUCUUCUGUCACCCAACCCCAUCCCAGGGGUAACUACUUUCCUGAAUUUGGUAUUUCUAUAUUUUAUAUGGAUUUAGCCAUAUAUGGUCAGUCCAUUGAAAUGGAACCUGGGAGAGGUUGAUGAUUCAGCAAAUAAAUAAAAUGUGGGUGUUUAUAACUGUGCUGUAGCAAGAAAUUCCCAUAUGACAAUGCAUUGACUCCCAGACUAAAAGGGCAUGACAGGCAGUGAGCCCACAGUUAAGGGGUCUCUCUCCAGGGGGUUUCUUCACUGCAUGAGGGCUGUUGAGACCCAGAGCUUCAGGCCUGGGCAAGAGUCCCCUCUCCCCUCUACACAGCCUUGAUCUCUUCACACAGCCUUGGUGGUAAACCAACGCGGGGUUCAUCUCAGCCUAGCUCUCCACCCACCAGCCUAGAUCAGCCUUUGUAGACUGAUCUAGCUCAACAUGUAUCCUUCACCCACGAGAGCAGAUUGCGUUUGCAUAUUUUCAAAUUUUAUAUAAAUAGCAUUGUAACUGUUGUGUGUAUCAUUCUGCAAAUUGCUUUUGUUUUGUUUUGUUUUGUUUGCUCAACUUGAUGUUUUGAAGGUUUAUAAUCAGUUUAAAAUCUCAAAAAAGUAUUCCACUGUAUGCAUAUAGCAAAAUUCUUAUCUUUAUUUUUUUCCUGGUGAAAAAUCACCCAGUUUAAGAAUUCUGACCAACAAGCCACAGCAAACAUACUUGCAUGUGUCUCUUUGUUAAUAGGUGUGUUUCUCACUUUUCUCACUUCAGGCUUUAUGACAAUCUGAUGAGUGCAUGAACUGGUAUCUCCUUGUGGUUACAAUUUGUACUGUUUUAUUACUAGAAAGAGGUGAACCAUGGAAGCAGGGCUUUUUCUGUAAAGGGCCAGAGAGUAAAUAUUUUACACCGGUCAUUCUCCGUCAUGUACUUGACCCUGCCCUAGAAGUACAGAAAGCAGCCACAGACAUUCAUUCAUAAGUUAAUGGUCAUCUUUUUUAAAAAUUUAUUUUAUUGAAAUAUAGCUGAUUUACAAUGUUGUGUUACUUUCUACUGUACAGCAAAGUGAUUCACUUAUACAUAUAUAUAUAUUCUUUUUCAUAUUGUUUUUCAUCAUGGUUUAUCACAGGAUAUUGAAUAUAGUUCCCUAUGCUUGUUUAUCUAUUCUAUAUAUAAUAGUUUGCAUCUGCUAAUCCCAAACUCCCGAUCCAUCCCUCCCCCACAUCCCCUACCCCUUGGCAACCACAAGUCUGUUUCUGUUUUGUAGAUAUGUUCAUUUGUGUCAUAUUUUAGAUUCCACAUAUAAGUGAUAUCAUAUGGUAUUUGUCUUUCUCUGUCUGGCUUACUUUACUUAGUAUGAAAAUCUUUAGGCCCAUCUAUGUCACUGCAAAUGGUAUUAUUUCAUUCUUUUUAUGGCUGAGUAAUAUUCCAUUGUAUAUAUGUACCACAUCUUCUUUAUCCAUUCAUCUGUAAAUGGACAUUUAGGUUGUUCCCAAGUCUUAGCUAUUGUGAAUAGUGCUGCUAUGAACAUUGGGGUGCAUGUAUCUUUUUGAAUUAUAGUUUUGUCUGGAUAUAUGCCCAGGAAUGGGAUUGCUGGAUCAUAUGGCAACUCUAUUUUUAGUUUUUUAAGGAACUUCCAUACUGUUUUCCAUAGUGGCUGCAGCAAUUUACAUUCCCACCAACAGUGUAGGAGGGUUCUUAACAGGCAACUUUUGAUUCAACAUUAUUUACAAAAAUAGGCAGCCGGUCAGCAGGCUAUAGUUUUCUGACCCCUUGUUCAAGAGACACUCUCUGAAAAACACAAACCAGUCAAAAAAUAGGCAAGAUCUGAACAGGCACUAUGUAGAAGAUAAUGUGCCGUUAGCUAGUAAGUAUACAAACAGUUCAAUCUCUCUCGAGUCACCAGGGAGUUUGUGAUCAACUUCCCUCCCUGACAGCCCAGAAGGCCUUCGGGUACUUCUCCUAACAGGGCAGGAGGAAGCCAUGCAAAUGACUUCAGUGAUAUGAGCAUCUUGGGGAAGCUCUCCCCACCCAGAACGAGGGGGCCAUCCCUGUCUACUCUUUAUUUACAUUGAGACUGUUCAGGACCCUCCUUGGAGCCUUCAGACACAUGUAAAAACUGUAUAUCCUGCCGUUUAGCAAGUAAGGGAGGCAAGACUGCAUCUGGUGAAAUCACUGAUACGAUGCAGAGGAAAUUUCCAGACCAUCCUUCCUGAAGGUUAAAUUCUUUCUUCAUGAGACGAGAAUUGGACAAUGGGAUGACAGAGCAGAGGCAAAGAGAUUUCCAAAGUCCUUUCUGCUUGGUCAGCUGUAAUAUGCUUCCUCUGAACAUUGCUGAUCUCAAACAUUUUAAUGACUCAAGCUUAAAGAGAGUUUACCAUUAGAAAAGCAUCCCACUACUCUGAAGUAGGAUCAGCAGGGAAACUAAUAGCUGCAGAGUUUGCAAAACACUCCAUCCUCCCUGCGUUCAGUUGGCAACCUGGGAAAACACUGAGAACAGAUGGUUUGCCAUCAGGGUUUAACAAGCAGACCUGGGAGGAACUGAACUUCUGCCUGUGACCAACUGAAAGAAGAAGCCCAUGCACGCCCCCUGGGCAGCGGGGAGGCCCUGAUCAUGUUGGUGCUAAAGUCAGGGAAGGACCGCAAGUAACGGCAGGGUGAAAUGCAGGCCUAUCUCUCAGUUAAGACAAUGCCAGUCCUGCUCUGACCCGUCCAGGAUGCUUUGAAGACAUCCUUAUCUCAGAUGUCAAACAGCUCUUAGCUGGGUGACGUGGCAGAUGCUGUGGGCCAUACCCGACUCGGGCACACGAGAUUUAAACAUAGGUCACCAUAGUCCCCCAAGGAACCCCAAACCAUAUUCCAUUUCAAAAGUCACCACUAUAGGCUGAUCCGUUCACCUUCACCCCAUCCCCUUGCUGCAAACCAAGUGAGAGAACAAACCGCCUACAAAGCAUAAAUCUGCUGACACCACAGCAGAGGCCUUGGAGAGACUUGUGACAGGCCCAGGACUCCAGUUCUCUGUGUCAGUCCAUAAUUAGCUACUUUAGUCAAACUGUCCCCAAUACAGAACAUCUUCUAUAUGAUAUGAACUCAGUUCUCUGAGAAACGGCAAUGGAAGUAUACUUUUUAGCCCUGACAACUAUUUUCAGGAACUGUUUUCUUAAAGCCUGUAUGACCCAGGACAACCUCAGCUCUCAUCAAAACAUAGGAACAAAUGGUGGCAAAGUAAUAGUACUAACUGGGGUUAUACAGGCUCUUGUCCAUUCCUGACCUGCUGCAAAUGGGUGUCCCACAAAUAGUGCUGGCGUUCCCCAGAGGCUCACUAAUGCUCCCAAAUAAGACCUCUCCCACUACUGGGGCAACUGCUGUGUCUGCUGGGAACUGACCCCACUCUGCUGUGGGCGCACCACUCACACACAUCCCUCCUGGGACCACUGGGCAUCAGUGGUCCCCUGCUGAAUCUUCCAGGGGGUACUCAUCCAACCCAGACCCUGACCAGGACCCAGCAGUGCUGGUUCCUCUCAGGUGUGGAUGAUUAGCCUGUCCCCUGACUCUGUGUUUCACUUUGCUACUUGUACUGAAGUAUCUCCACUUGUACUCCCA